AUGGCUAAGUUCCUGCUUACAUUCCUGCUAUUGGGAAUUUCUCCUCUUGUGAUCUUCCAAGCCUUUGCUCUCCAGUGCAGAUUCUGUAAUGACUAUUUUAUGGGCAUCUGCACAGAUACGGAGACAACAUGCACUGCCAGUUAUGGUGCUUCCUGCAGGAGUUUCAGAUUAUCAGAUAAAAACAACAUGUCUUUCCCGUCUCUUGGAUAUAAUGAUUGUUCACCAGACUGCAAGCCCCAGUACACCACUUGGGAAAACUCUGCAUUGCUGGCAUUCUGCUGUAAUAGCCAUGAUAUGUGCAAUGAUGUUGGUGAGUUAGUUGAUCAAUACAUAGCAUCAGUACCUCACAUUUCUUUUUAGUUUAUUCUUGGUUGUUCUCAGGUUUCAUCUGACCUGAACUAGAGGUUUCCCUGAGUACCUGAAUUCCUGGAAUAAAGUAGCCAGAGGAAGACA
This 453-nucleotide long non-coding RNA is filed under the name Oryctolagus cuniculus (rabbit). Its description in RNAcentral is "lncRNA (ENSOCUG00000030760.1)". Lineage: Eukaryota; Metazoa; Chordata; Mammalia; Lagomorpha; Leporidae. The record is from RNAcentral.